AGAGUUUGAUCCUGGCUCAGGAUGAACGCUGGCGGCGUGCUUAACACAUGCAAGUCGAACGAACCUUCGGGUUAGUGGCGGACGGGUGAGUAACGCGUGGGAAUCUGCCCUCAGGAGGGGGAUAACGGCUGGAAACGGCCGCUAAUACCCCAUAUGCCGAGAGGUGAAAAGAAAUUCGCCUGAGGAUGAGCCCGCGUCUGAUUAGCUAGUUGGUGGGGUAAGAGCUCACCAAGGCGACGAUCAGUAGCUGGUCUGAGAGGAUGAUCAGCCACACUGGGACUGAGACACGGCCCAGACUCCUACGGGAGGCAGCAGUGGGGAAUUUUCCGCAAUGAGCGAAAGCCUGACGGAGCAACGCCGCGUGAGGGAUGAAGGCCUCUGGGCUGUAAACCUCUUUUCUCAAGGAAGAAGACAUGACGGUACUUGAGGAAUAAGCCACGGCUAAUUCCGUGCCAGCAGCCGCGGUAAUACGGGAGUGGCAAGCGUUAUCCGGAAUUAUUGGGCGUAAAGCGUCCGCAGGCGGCCCUGUAAGUCUGUCGUUAAAGCGUGGAGCUUAACUCCAUUUAAGCGAUGGAAACUACAGGGCUUGAGUGUGGUAGGGGCAGAGGGAAUUCCCGGUGUAGCGGUGAUAUGCGUAGAUAUCGGGAAGAACACCAGUGGCGAAGGCGCUCUGCUGGGCCAUAACUGACGCUCAUGGACGAAAGCCAGGGGAGCGAAAGGGAUUAGAUACCCCUGUAGUCCUGGCCGUAAACGAUGAACACUAGGUGUCGGGGGAAUCGACCCCCUCGGUGUCGUAGCCAACGCGUUAAGUGUUCCGCCUGGGGAGUACGCACGCAAGUGUGAAACUCAAAGGAAUUGACGGGGGCCCGCACAAGCGGUGGAGUAUGUGGUUUAAUUCGAUGCAACGCGAAGAACCUUACCAGGGUUUGACAUCCUGCGAAUCCCUUGGAAACGAGGGAGUGCCUUCGGGAGCGCAGAGACAGGUGGUGCAUGGCUGUCGUCAGCUCGUGUCGUGAGAUGUUGGGUUAAGUCCCGCAACGAGCGCAACCCACGUCUUUAGUUGCCAGCAUUCAGUUGGGCACUCUAGAGAGACCGCCGGUGAUAAACCGGAGGAAGGUGUGGAUGACGUCAAGUCAUCAUGCCCCUUACAUCCUGGGCUACACACGUACUACAAUGCUACGGACAAAGGGCAGCAAGCUCGCGAGAGUUAGCAAAUCCCAUAAACCGUGGCUCAGUUCAGAUCGUAGGCUGCAACUCGCCUACGUGAAGGAGGAAUCGCUAGUAAUCGCAGGUCAGCAUACUGCGGUGAAUACGUUCCCGGGCCUUGUACACACCGCCCGUCACACCAUGGAAGUUGGCCACGCCCGAAGUCGUUACUCCAACCCU
RNAcentral lists this ribosomal RNA (1386 nucleotides) under metagenome. RNAcentral describes it as "bacterial SSU rRNA". It matches the Rfam family "Bacterial small subunit ribosomal RNA". The record is from RNAcentral.